Molecule: ribosomal RNA, 524 nt
Filed under: uncultured bacterium
Lineage: Bacteria
Description: partial 16S ribosomal RNA
Rfam family: Bacterial small subunit ribosomal RNA
Source: RNAcentral
GACGAACGCUGGCGGCGUGCCUAAUACAUGCAAGUCGAGCGCAGGAAACUGACGGAACUCUUCGGAGGGAGGGCAGUGGAAUGAGCGGCGGACGGGUGAGUAACACGUAAGGAACCUGCCUCAAGGAUUGGGAUAACUCCGAGAAAUCGGAGCUAAUACCGGAUAGUUCAACGGACCGCAUGGUCUGCUGAUGAAAGGCGCUUCGGCGUCACCUUGAGAUGGCCUUGCGGUGCAUUAGCUAGUUGGUGGGGUAACGGCCCCCCAAGGCGACGAUGCAUAGCCGAGCUGAGAGGGUGAUCGGCCACACUGGGACUGAGACACGGACCAGACUCCUACGGGAGGCAGCAGUAGAGAAUCUUCCACAAUGGACGAAAGGCUGAUGGAGCAACGCCGCGUGAGUGAUGAAGGUUUUCGGAUCGUAAAACCCUGUUGUAAGGGAAGAACACGUACGAGAGGGAAUGCUCGUACCUUGACGGUACCUUACGAGAAAGCCACGGCUAACUACGUGCCAGCCGCCGCGGUAA